GAUGAACGCUGGCGGCGUGCCUAAUACAUGCAAGUCGAGCGAACAGACGAGGAGCUUGCUCCUCUGACGUUAGCGGCGGACGGGUGAGUAACACGUGGAUAACCUACCUAUAAGACUGGGAUAACUUCGGGAAACCGGAGCUAAUACCGGAUAAUAUAUUGAACCGCAUGGUUCAAUAGUGAAAGACGGUUUUGCUGUCACUUAUAGAUGGAUCCGCGCCGCAUUAGCUAGUUGGUAAGGUAACGGCUUACCAAGGCGACGAUGCGUAGCCGACCUGAGAGGGGGGACCGGCACAAUGGAAACGGAAAAACGGCCCGACUCCCAAGGGGGGCAGGAGUGGGGAAACUUGCCCAAUGGGGGGAAACCCGGACGGGCCAACCCCGGGGGGGUGAGAAAGGUUUUCGGAUCGAAAAACCUUGUUUUUGGGAAAAAAAAAAUGUGAAAAAAACAAUGCCGGUUUGGAGGGAACCAAAGAAAAAACCCGCGGCAAACUAGUG
RNAcentral lists this ribosomal RNA (497 nucleotides) under uncultured bacterium. RNAcentral's name for it is "partial 16S ribosomal RNA". It matches the Rfam family "Bacterial small subunit ribosomal RNA", at positions 28 to 507 of the family's 1533-position model. The record is from RNAcentral.